UACGUAGGGGGCUAGCGUUGUCCGGAUUUAUUGGGCGUAAAGAGCUCGUAGGUGGUUCGGUAAGUCGGAUGUGAAAUCUCCAGGCUCAACCUGGAGGGGUCAUUCGAUACUGCCGUGACUAGAGUUCGGUAGAGGAGUGUGGAAUUCCUGGUGGAGCGGUGAAAUGCGCAGAGAUCAGGAGGAACACCGAUGGCGAAGGCAGGUCUCUGGGCCACUACUGACGCUGAGAAGCGAAAGCAUGGGGAGCGAACAGG
This 254-nucleotide ribosomal RNA is filed under the name uncultured bacterium. RNAcentral describes it as "partial 16S ribosomal RNA". It matches the Rfam family "Bacterial small subunit ribosomal RNA", at positions 524 to 776 of the family's 1533-position model. The record is from RNAcentral.